UAAAAGAAAGAGGAGCCGGUAUCAGGCUCAAUUCGCCCAUGACACCUAGCCCCGCCACACCCCCAAGGGUAUUCAGCAGUGAUCAACAUUGUAAACUAGCGUAAGCUAAAUUCAGUUACCAGCUAAAAAAACCGGUCAAUCUCGUGCCAGCCACCGCGGUUAUACGGGCAGGUUUAAAUUGAUAAGAUCGGCACAAAGCGUGGUUAGACCCCUACCUCAAUAAAGCAAAAAUUAAGCCCGGCUGUAAUAUGCUUACGCUUUUAAUAACUUCAAUCACGAAAGUAGCUUUAACUCUUAUUGAACCCACGAUCGCUAGGGCACAAACUGGGAUUAGAUACCCCACUAUGCCUAGCCCUAAACUUUGACUCAUCCGCCUGGGGACUACGAGCGUCAGCUUAAAACCCAAAAGACUUGGCGGUGCCCUACACCACCUAGAGGAGCCUGUUCUAUAAUCGAUAAUCCCCGAUUCACCUCACCACCUCUUGCCAAUACCGCCUGUAUACCUCCGUCGCCAACUGACCCCUUAAGGGAAUUAGUCGGUUAAAUGGCCUUCUUCCAGUAAGUCAGGUCAAGGUGCAGCGAAUGAGGUGGGAAGAAAUGGGCUACAUUUUCUACUAAUAGACUAUACGAAAGAUCACUAUGAAAUCUGAUUGGAAGGUGGAUUUAGCAGUAAAAAGAGACUAGAGCGCUCUUUUUAAGUUGGCUCUAGGGCGCGCACACACCGCCCGUC
RNAcentral lists this ribosomal RNA (730 nucleotides) under Xenophrys lini. RNAcentral describes it as "partial 12S rRNA'". It matches the Rfam family "Bacterial small subunit ribosomal RNA", at positions 293 to 1398 of the family's 1533-position model. Lineage: Eukaryota; Metazoa; Chordata; Amphibia; Anura; Megophryidae. The record is from RNAcentral.